GGCCCGCACAAGCGGUGGAGCAUGUGGUUUAAUUCGAUGAUACGCGAGGAACCUUACCAGGGUUUAAAUGCAGAACGACAGGGGUGGAAACACCCCCUUCUUCGGACGGACUGCAAGGUGCUGCAUGGUUGUCGUCAGCUCGUGCUGUGAAGUGUCGGGUUAAGUCCCAUAACGAGCGCAACCCCAUUUCUAGUUGCCAGCGGUUCGGCCGGGGACUCUAGAGAAACUGCCAGCGUAAGCUGUGAGGAAGUGGGGAUGACGUCAAAUCAUCACGGCCCUUACAUCCUGGGCCACACACGUGCUACAAUGGUGGGGACAACAGGUUGCCAACCCGCGAGGUGAGCCAAUCCCAAAACCCCAUCUCAGUUCGGA
Molecule: ribosomal RNA, 372 nt
Filed under: uncultured bacterium
Lineage: Bacteria
Description: bacterial SSU rRNA
Rfam family: Bacterial small subunit ribosomal RNA
Source: RNAcentral